UNUUUGCCUCUCACGGCUAUGACCUCAGU
Molecule: non-coding RNA, 29 nt
Filed under: Rattus norvegicus (Norway rat)
Lineage: Eukaryota; Metazoa; Chordata; Mammalia; Rodentia; Muridae
Source: RNAcentral